RNAcentral lists this long non-coding RNA (4220 nucleotides) under Sus scrofa (pig). RNAcentral's name for it is "lncRNA (ENSSSCG00000056608.1)". The record is from RNAcentral. Lineage: Eukaryota; Metazoa; Chordata; Mammalia; Artiodactyla; Suidae.
GAGUCAAACAAACAAAUCUGAGCUUGGAACGUCCUUGCCGUAGAUCUCAGCAAUUCUGUGGCAAGCCGAACAGCAAGUUGGUGCAUAUCCUAGAAGAUUCUUUUAUCUGUGAAGCAGGUCUAAUAAGACCAGACCUGCUUCCUCAAAGCAUGGCAAAUAGUGAAUGCAGUGAUGUUCGUGAGAGCCCUGUGUUCAUUCAUUCAUUCCUUUACUCACUUAUUCAGUCAAUGCAUUCAAGCCUUAAUAUAUUGGGGUUCGGGAUGCCCAAAUCCAAAGAUGAGGAUCCCACAGACUCUGCUUUCAAACAGCGCUAGUUUACGAAUGGAGUAGAAAUAGGAUGCUGGGGCUCUCACCGAGCUGCAGACAGAAUGAUGGGCCACGGAAGCUUGGUCCGAGCACCUGUCUACUCAUAAGGCUGCCCCGUUGUCCCCUCAUCUCCCACUACUCUGCCCUUCGCUCACUCGGUUCCAGCCGUAUAGCUCCCCCCACCCCCACCCCAUUCCUGGCUAUUGCUUAGCUUCAACAAAUGCCCCACUUCUUGGGAGAUUUGGGUUUGCUGUUUCUUGCCAAGAGUGGCCUUCCCUUCGUUAUCCACAUGAUGCCCCCUUAGGCAUUAUAUUUUUGAUCUACUCUCACCUGUGCAAUCCUCAGAGAGGCCCCUCUGUGCACAUUAUCUCAGAUAGCAUCUCAGUCACUCUCUAUUUUACUCUCUCUGUCUGAGAAUUAAGACCUUACUCCCUAAGCCGUCUGUUGUGUGGCAUGAAUUAACUUCUCUCCUGUGUAUCUGGAAUGCUAAUAGUUAUGCAUCAUCUUUAGAAAAAUUGAGAAAAUAGUCUCUCAAGUCCCCUUCUGUGCUCGGAUGAAGGAAGCAAGCUGAGUUGAGUUUCUUCAUAAAACUUCACUUACCAGAUACUGUAUUAUGAAUAUAUUUGGCUUUUUUUUUUUUUUUUGCUUUUUAAAUAUUUUUUAUUUUAUUUAUUUUUUGUUUGGUUGGGGUUUUUUGGCCACACCUGCGGCCUGUGGAAGUUCCCAGGCCAGAGAUCAAACCUAUGCCACACCAGCGACCAGAGCCACCGCAGUGACAACACUGGAUCCUUAACCCGCUGAGCCACAUGGAAACUCCUGGAUACACCUGUUAAUUUGUUUUUCUCUCUUUUUUUCCUUACUAAAAACACAAGCUUCGAGAAGAUGGAACUAUGGCUUGUUCACUGUUAGGUCUCCAGCACCUAGAGCAGUGCCUGGCAAUAUGCCUUUGUCGGAUGAAUGAAUGAAUGUAUGGCAGACGAACGAAUGAAUUUGAGAAAGCACCGAAGAGGUACUUUCUGAUUUGGAUCUGCUAAGACCAGCAGAAUUUUACUUGGGAGUUGGGAGCGGGAACGUUGCUCCAACAGUAGCACGGCAUGGCUUGGUGAAAUGGGCUUUAAGCUAGAGGGUACCAUGUCCAGGUAAAGUAGUGGCUUUCUGAAGUAAUAAAUCCAUACUCCUUUUAGCUUUACCACAGUUUUUCUCCUUCUUUGAGGAGUAUUAUUCACUGUAUGUGUACUCUAUUGUUCACACUAUAUUUUUAACAAAAAUAAAUUAUAUUCCCUGAGUAGACAUCUACCUGUUGUCAGUCUGCGUGCUCAAGAAACACUGAUUUUAACAUUAACUUAAAUACAAUAUAUAAUUGAAAUUUAAUAUGCCAGGGAGAAUAUUAUUAGGUAAAAUUUCGGACCUAACACGUUCCUUUGGCUCACCAGAAUUUUUCUUCUCAUACUAAUAAAAGGACUGCAUGUCCACUCGUUGAUUAAAGCAGUAAUAGUUUAUUGGGAAACCCUAGUGUGCGAGUCUUUUUUUCCGUAGUGCAAUGUACAGGCGAUGAGCGUUAGAUCCGCGCCACGUAAUGUGUGGUCCCCGGACCAGCUGGACCAGUGCCGGUCCUUGGGCAGUUCUUGCUGGUCUGUAGUGAGAAAAGCAGACUGAGUGAGAGGACACAUUUAGGAGCUUUCAUGGAAGUUUGACAACAAACAUAAUUUUCAAUGUAAUUUCUUUUAUUCUUGUUACAUUUUCCCAAAAGCAUGAGUCUGCACUGGAUUAAGAAAAACAAAGUAAAAAUCAGCCCUGCUUCUUCUGCUACUGGUUGUCUGAAGAACAGCACUCUAGACUGUGAUUUGUGGACUGCCUUUAGCUCCACAAAGUCUGCACUACGGGAGACACUGAAGAUUUAGCUUGGGGUCCACUAGCCUCAAACUUGAGGCAGGUGGCAGUAUCUGCUAAUAGUGCUGAGAGCUGAUAUUUUUCAGGUCCUCCUCUGUUCUAGGCAUUAUGCUAACAAUUUGAAAGCUGUUCUUUAGAGUUAGGGAUGGAGGAAAGUAUAAGCAGAUAUGAUGGCACAGGUGGUUUUUGCUCUGUGCCAGCCAGAUUUCUUUCAGAGGUAAUACUUGCCUAUAGAAAAUCUCAAGUGCCAGCCACUCUACUGUUAGUUAUGUUGCUUUGACCACUCAUUUGCUCUCAGUUCUGGGUUGGUUCUAGUAAAGGUUUGAGAAUUUAGGCCAUUAAACGCAUACAUGGGUACAGGAAAGGCUAAGCGUGUCAGGUUAUAUAUGCCUUGGAGACCUGGUGGAGAACCCAAAAGAUUCAUAGAGCCUCUUGCUUCAAGCAACCUGGUGUUCUUAACUCUGGGACAAAGCCAUUUGUGUCCAGGGUCUGGGUCUUGUUGCAUGAAGAUCUUGCUGUAACCGGUUCAGUUCUAGGUGGGCAGUAUGGUUUUUAGAAGCUCUGGCAUUCACGACCUCAUUGCCCAUUGUGGUCUUUUCAGAGCAUCCAAGGAAUGUGCAUGGAUAACAUUCUAUACAUUAAGCAACCUCUUAAGUAGUUUCCUGUGUUUGGAAACUCUGUGGACCAUCUUAGGCAUCCCUGCUAGUAAAACGCACACGGUGCACAUGUGAGGAGUGGUGGAACCUACGUCAUGCCUGGACCAACUCAGAUGUGUGCCUGGAUGGAAUGGGAAGAUGUGUCCUAGCUAAGCCACAUUUCACUGGUGUUUCAUCUCACGCUGUGCUGAAAGGUUAGCAAAUAGUUUAUGUAAAUGUGUUUCAGAAAGGCUCCAGAAACACGAUUACUAGGAUAAAUAGCGCAAUAGAGCAUCUCUUCUCAAACAGGGAUUCAGAAAUCAUGGUACCGGUUCUGCAGUGAUUUUGCUCAUGUAAGACUGUGACUCUGGGAGAUUAAGGCUCCUGAAAGAAAUCCAGCCAUAUUUUUAAUAGAAAUUAUAAAACUGAACUGCAGCUCAUAUCCACAAGCCCUUAAAGCUUUUAUGCCCCUGUGAUCAGGCAUAGUCAUGUAAUGUAGCAUUGCCGUAUUUCACAAAUAAAAAUCCAGGAAACCCAGAUCAACUUGAAUUUCAGUGAAACAGAUAAUAUUUUUCAGGAUAACAAUAUCCUAUGCAAUAUUUGGUAUUUAGUAUAAGUAUGCCUCAUGCAAUGCUUUGAAAAGACCACAAUGGGUAAUAAAGUUGUGAAUUCCAGGGCUUCUCAAAAGAAUAUUGCUCCCAGCCCACCUAGAACCAUGCAGUAUUUUGGACAUACUUAUAUUAAAAAAUACGCCUUGAUUUUCUGCGAUUCAAAUGUACACUGAGUACUUACUAUCUACUAGGUUCUGAAAUAAGAGUUUCCUACAUAUAUCUCAUUUAAAUUUUACAACACUCAUAAAAGAAAGUCAUAUCAUUAAAAAAGUUAUUUUAGGGGUUCCCUUGUGACACAGUGGGUUGAGCACCCAGCGUUGUCCCCGCCGCAGCCUGGGCCAGUACCAUGGCAUGGGUUUGAUUCCUGGUCCGGGAACUUUCAUGUGCUGCAGGUGCAACCAACAAAACAAAACAGAGCAGAACAAAACUUAUUAUAGAUGUGGAAACUCAGGCUUGGAGAAGUAAGGUCACUUGCCUCAGGAUCAGCUACUGAGCCAUCGAGCUGGGAGUUGAGGUCACAGCUCACAUUUAACUUCGCCCUGGACUUUUAAAACUUCAGUGUAGUCCAAGUGGCAUUUAAUAAUACUUUGGAAGCAGAUGGACUAAAACACACACACACACACACACACACACACACACACACACACACGCCCUUCCUAUCAGCAAAACAUCGAUCACUGGUUUCCAGACGGUGAAGGCUCCCCUCCUUCAGCUUAAUCUCUCCUGGUUCAAGUUACUAAUUGGGAUACUUGUAGCUUUUGUUGUCUAAAAAACCCCC